AUUGAACGCUGGCGGCAGGCCUAACACAUGCAAGUCGAGCGGAUGAAGGGAGCUUGCUCCUGGAUUCAGCGGCGGACGGGUGAGUAAUGCCUAGGAAUCUGCCUGGUAGUGGGGGAUAACGUCCGGAAACGGGCGCUAAUACCGCAUACGUCCUGAGGGCGUACGUGGGGGAUCUUCGGACCUUACGCUAUCAGACGAGCCUAGGUCGGAUUAGCUAGUUGGUGGGGUAAAGGCCUACCAAGGCGACGAUCCGUAACUGGUCUGAGAGGAUGAUCAGUCACACUGGAACUGAGACACGGUCCAGACUCCUACGGGAGGCAGCAGUGGGGAAUAUUGGACAAUGGGCGAAAGCCUGAUCCAGCCAUGCCGCGUGUGUGAAGAAGGUCUUCGGAUUGUAAAGCACUUUUAUUUGGAAAGAAGAGCAGUAAGUUAAUACCUUGCUGUUUUGACGUUACCAACAGAAUAAGCACCGGCUAACUUCGUG
This 484-nucleotide ribosomal RNA is filed under the name uncultured bacterium. Its description in RNAcentral is "partial 16S ribosomal RNA". It matches the Rfam family "Bacterial small subunit ribosomal RNA", at positions 30 to 507 of the family's 1533-position model. The record is from RNAcentral.